This 1087-nucleotide ribosomal RNA is filed under the name fungal sp. RNAcentral's name for it is "eukaryotic LSU rRNA". The stretch from base 504 to 1087 matches the Rfam family "Eukaryotic large subunit ribosomal RNA", at positions 1 to 596 of the family's 3401-position model. The record is from RNAcentral. Lineage: Eukaryota; Fungi.
AUUACCGAGUUUACAACUCCCAAACCCCUGUGAACAUACCUAUAAUUGUUGCUUCGGCGGGAUCGUCCCGGCGCCCAACCUACACCGGGCCCGGACCCAGGCGCCCGCCGGAGGCCCCAAACUCUUUGUUUUUACGUUGUGUAUCUUCUGAGUUAUACAAGCAAAUAAAUCAAAACUUUCAACAACGGAUCUCUUGGUUCUGGCAUCGAUGAAGAACGCAGCGAAAUGCGAUAAGUAAUGUGAAUUGCAGAAUUCAGUGAAUCAUCGAAUCUUUGAACGCACAUUGCGCCCGCUAGUAUUCUAGCGGGCAUGCCUGUUCGAGCGUCAUUUCAACCCUCAAGCCCUCGCGGCUUGGUGUUGGGGAUCGGCCGCAAGCCUUCACGGCAGGCGGCCGGCCCCGAAAUCUAGUGGCGGUCUCGCUGUAGUCCCCCUCUGCGUAGUAGCACACCUCGCACUGGAAGCUCGGCCUGACCACGCCGUAAAACCCCCCACUUCUGAAAGGUUGACCUCGGAUCAGGUAGGAAUACCCGCUGAACUUAAGCAUAUCAAUAAGCGGAGGAAAAGAAACCAACAGGGAUUGCCCUAGUAACGGCGAGUGAAGCGGCAACAGCUCAAAUUUGAAAUCUGGCCCUUGUGGUCCGAGUUGUAAUUUGUAGAGGAUGCUUUUGGUGAGGUGCCUUCCGAGUUCCCUGGAACGGGACGCCAUAGAGGGUGAGAGCCCCGUCUGGUUGGACACCGAGCCUCUGUAAAGCUCCUUCGACGAGUCGAGUAGUUUGGGAAUGCUGCUCUAAAUGGGAGGUAUAUGUCUUCUAAAGCUAAAUAUUGGCCAGAGACCGAUAGCGCACAAGUAGAGUGAUCGAAAGAUGAAAAGCACUUUGAAAAGAGGGUUAAAAAGUACGUGAAAUUGUUGAAAGGGAAGCGCUUGUGACCAGACUUGGGCCCGGUCAAUCAUCCAGGGUUCUCCCUGGUGCACUUUUCCGGCUCAGGCCAGCAUCAGUUUGUCGCGGGGGAUAAAGACGUUGGGAAUGUGGCUCCUCCGGGAGUGUUAUAGCCCUUCGUGCAAUACCCUGCUUCGGACUGAGGUCGC